Molecule: unclassified non-coding RNA, 352 nt
Filed under: soil metagenome
Description: partial contains 5.8S ribosomal RNA, internal transcribed spacer 2, and large subunit ribosomal RNA
Rfam family: 5.8S ribosomal RNA (bases 1-120)
Source: RNAcentral
GAUGAAGAACGUAGCGAAAUGCGAUAAGUAAUGUGAAUUGCAGAAUUCAGUGAAUCAUCGAAUCUUUGAACGCACAUUGCGCCCGCCAGUAUUCUGGCGGGCAUGCCUGUUCGAGCGUCAUUACAACCCUCAGGCCCCCGGGCCUGGCGUUGGGGAUCGGCGGAGCCCCCCGUGGGCACACGCCGUCCCCCAAAUGCAGUGGCGGUCCCGCCGCAGCUUCCAUCGCGUAGUAGCUAACACCUCGCGACUGGAGAGCGGCGCGGCCACGCCGUAAAACACCCAACUCUUCUAAGGUUGACCUCAGAUCAGGUAGGAAUACCCGCUGAACUUAAGCAUAUCAAUAAGCGGAGGA